CGUUGGCGGCGUGGAUUAGGCAUGCAAGUCGUGCGACGAGGCCCGCAAGGGUGCUCGAGCGGCGAAAGGGAGAGUAAUGCACGGGUAACCUGCCCCUAGGACUGGGAUAGCCGUGGGAAACUGCGGGUAAUACCAGAUGAUGUCUGAUAGCUUCGGCUAUCGGACCAAAGGUGCGAGUCCGCCUAGGGAGGGGCCCGUGUCCUAUCAGCUAGUUGGUGGGGUAACGGCUCACCAAGGCUACGACGGGUACGGGGUGUGAGAGCAUGUCCCCGCUCACUGGGACUGAGACACUGCCCAGA
RNAcentral lists this ribosomal RNA (299 nucleotides) under uncultured bacterium. RNAcentral describes it as "partial 16S ribosomal RNA". It matches the Rfam family "Bacterial small subunit ribosomal RNA", at positions 34 to 335 of the family's 1533-position model. The record is from RNAcentral.